RNAcentral lists this non-coding RNA (44 nucleotides) under Schistosoma mattheei. Lineage: Eukaryota; Metazoa; Platyhelminthes; Trematoda; Strigeidida; Schistosomatidae. The record is from RNAcentral.
AUCCAUCUGACGAGUCCUAAUAGGAGGAAACACGCAUCCUGGAU